GUAGAUUCACUUGUUUAUAUUUAAGUCCGUAUGGGUCUCAUUAUGAGAUAAAUUUGUUUAUACUUAAGAUCCAUAUGAACUUUAAGAUUCAUACAGGACGCAACUGAUGAUUAACUCCACAGAAAGAAAGAUGAAAACUGAAGAUAAAAGAAAUAAGCAAGAGAAACGAUAAAGAAGAAGAGAACCCAACCUUUAAGGAUUAUUUAGCCCCUCCUACAGUGCUACAGUGAGAACCCAUCUGCUCAGAGCGGGUAGAUGAACGGAGGGUGCCAACAACGAGCAACGGAAACGCCACCGGAAGAAGGUCCAGGGGCUCUCCAAAUAAGCUUUGUUCCAGUUAAAGGACUGAACUUUUUUACAAGACAAAGAGAGAACCGACUAUCAGUCCAGAGCCCGCCAUCCAAUUGACUGAAUGGCUGAAAAAUAAAAUCUGGCUCACAGAUCGGGUUGUUCAACACGUGCUGGAAGCUGCAAUGCAUCAAGCAGCAUGGAUCCAAUCAAAUGGGACAAUCCCACUGCAGCAAAUAUUGGCUGAGUUUCCACGUUUGUUGGAAACACCAGGCCUGGUGAGGUUUUACCUCAUAUUAGGAUCAGUAAAACACUCAACUGCAAUACCAUGUUUAAAUGUACAAAUACAAUCAAACUCAAAAUAUCAGACCACCCAGAACAUAUGUGUACCAGAGAUGGAAGGUUGAAUUCAAUAGUUCUUCUCUCACUGAGCUGAACGUUUCAUUUAUUUGACUAUCGGAUUGUCAACAUGCUUUUGAGUGCAGUAAAGUACUCCUGAGCAAUGUGUCUGCUCUUGCUGCAUCUGUGUAUGCUGUGCCCGUUAAACUAGCAGUGGAUUUAAAAAUGGAUUUAAGAAAUUCAGGAAAAUUCAAAGUGAACAAUAGCCCAAGACAACACAACAAGAGGAUAAAGGGAAAAAAAAGCCCAUCUCCAGAGCUGAAGGGAGGAUUCAACGUGAUGAAAUUGAACUACGAAGUUCAAUUUUGUAGUACAGGCAACAGGCAGAUUCCUAUCUGCAGAAGAAACGAGUCAAAAAUCAGGGGUCUUAUGGUUGAAACUACACGGAGGCGGGACCUGUCUGACAAAACGAAUGCUGGACGCUGAAAAACAGGUCAAAUAGCUCACAGAUGACAACCAAAGAUUAAAAAUACAACUACACACGUCUCAGCAAAAAGUAAGCACAUUUAGAGAUGAAUCAGAGGCCCCACAAAUUUGAGUUUAAAAAGCUGUCAAAUCUCUUGAGAACUAGAGAGAACACAAUUAGCAAUCAAUUAGCAUUGAAUGCAAAACAAAAGCAAAGAGGAACUAAAGAGACAACGUAGAGUUGCACAAGAGACAGAACUGGAGGCGAAAAGAAAGAAAUUGCCAAAAUGAAGAAUCAUCAUUGAAGCGAAUAAAGCACGAAGAUGAAGAAAAUUUGAGCCUACGAAUGGAAGUCACGGGACUAAAAAAGGCUUCGAGUGAAACUGAGAGGAAGUUGUCAAAACAAAAAUUGAAAUACCAAAUCCUCCAGGAGAAAUUUUAAAAUGCUCAGACAGACAAAGCAAUCCUGCAGAAAGAAAAACAAUCACUGGAAAUUUCUACAAUGAAUCUUCAGAAAGAAGUUGUUGAAACACAGACACUCCUGCAGAAGUCCCAGCAAGAGAAUCAGUUUCUUAAGAGUCAACUGCAGCAGGUCAAGAGCUGGCUGACAGGAUUCAAAGCAGCAAGAAAAAUACGAGAAAAUUUGAAAAAGACAAUAUACAAAACUGAACAUGCAGAGAAGACGCUCUGACAAAAAACAGAAGAGCCACAGAAGCAAUUACUGUAUGGAGAGAAAAAUUGGAAUACUGGUUGAUUUAAUUUGCGAAACGGGUUUUUAAGAUUGCAGAACUGUCUAAGGAAGUUUUGAGACUGCAAGAGAAUGAGCAGAAAUUUAAAAUGCUUAAAGAAACAUAUUCUAAGGUGGAAAAGUUAUGGCUAGAUGAGAAAGGAGAUAUUAUAAUUGUCCCAGAUUACGACGCCAUAAAGGAUAAACUCAGAUGAGAACCACAGAUUGUCCACAAAACUGAAAGAGAAAGAAACAGAAAUUAAGGAUCUCAAGUUUGAGGUGGAGAAGCUCCAGCAUGUGGUCUCCAGUGAAAGAUACUCCGACGGUCGGAAGACGCAAUGCUAAGAUUGCUUCAGAGUCAGACCAAGGUUUGAGCUCUCAAGAAACAGAUACAAGUCCUGGAGACAGAAAAUGGUGUCUGUAGCCACGGUAAAAAUGCAAGAAAACAUCAAUAAGAUGAAAAAUGAGUUGGAAAAAUUUGCAAUUGCGGAGAAAAAUAAACUUUCGUCAGUUUGUCGUCAGUCAAAAAAUACCAAACCAAAAUCUGAGGAGGAGAGAACCCCCCAAACAUUGUUUAUCUGCUGCCUCUUCAAAUCACUUCAUUUGGAAAGGCAAAAUUAGUAACCAAAAGAUCGCAUCGGAUGCAAAACAAAAGCAAGUGGAUGCUUAGACAGGAGUUUAAGAGACAAAGCAGAGUUGAGGGAGAGGCUGAACUAGAGGCGAGAAGAAAUGAUCAAAAUAAAGAAACCACGAUGAAAUGAAUAAAACACAAAGAUGGAGAGAGUUUGAGUCUAAGAAAAGAAGCCAAGUUAAUAAACAAGGCUUUGGGUGAUUUUGAGAUCAACUUGUCAGAACAACAUUUGCAGUACCAAAUUUGCCAGGAGAAUUUUUAAAAUGCUCAGACAGACAAAGCAAUCCUGGAGGAAGAAAAACAAACACUGGAAAAUUCCACAACGAAACUUAAGACGUUGUUGACACACAGGGACACAUGCAAAUGUCCCAGCAAGGGAAUCGGUUUUAGAAAAAUCAAGUGCAGCAGAUCAAGCAAACUGACUGAGCAAAUUAAGGCGCGUUAUUCCUGAACCGAUGAGGGAUUCAGGAAAAUUCAGAGUGAACAAUAGCCUAAGACAAGCCAUCAACACAACAAGAGGAUAAAGAAAAAGAAAAGCCCAUUUCCAGAGCUGAAGAGAGAAUUCAACAUGAUGAAAUUGAACUACGAAGUCAACAGACAAAUUCCUAUCUGUAGAAGAAACGAGUCAAAGAUGACGGCUCUAAUAGUUGAAACUUCACGGAGGCAGGACCUGUCUGCAAAGUAGUAAGACUGAAGAUGUUCAGAGAAUGAGCGUUGGUUGCAGGAAAACAGUCAAAGUGCUUACGGACGAUGAAAGAUUCAAAGAGCAUACGCAUUUAAAAAUUCAUCGGAAGCUCAGAAAGUUCUACUUAAAACAAUGAUUACCAAUCCAAUAAGAAAGUCAUAAAUAAUCAGAGUGAAAAUGGCAGAGACACAACAAGACUAUCCACACAGCAAAAGGAAAAGCCAAGAGAAAAUUAUCUGUCCAAGGAGAGAGUUCAAUAUAAUGAAAUAGAUUUACAACUGCAGAACUUAUCCCUGCAGAAGGAAAUAAAACUGCUAGAGGGAAAAUAUUUUAAACUUUCUAACAAAUUUAAAGGGAUUUCGACCAAACUUCAGCAAAGUAUAACUAGAGUUUAGGAUCUAGAAGGUCAGUUAAAAAACUUGCAGGAAAGAAAUGUUUUAAUGACUGUAACUGUACAGAGGCGGGAUCUGUCUGACAAAACGAGUGUUGGAUGCUGAAAAGCAGGUCUAAGAGCUCACAGAUGAUGACCAAAGAUUGAAAAUACAACUAGACACGUCUCAGCAAAAAGUAAGCACAUUUAGAGAUGAAUCAUAAAUUUGAGUUUAAAAAUUUGUCAGAUCUCUUGAGAACUAGAGAGUACACAAUUAGCAAUCUUAAGAUCGCAUUGGAUGCAAAACAAAAGCAAAUCGAUGCUCACGAAGAGGAACUAAAGAGACAACGUAGAGUUGCACAAGAGACAGAACUGGAGGCGAAAAGAAAUCGCCAAAAUGAAGAAUCAUCAUUGAAGCGAAUAAAGCACAAAGAUGAAGAAAAUUUGAGCCUACGAAUGGAAGUCACGGGACUAAAAAAGGCUUUGAGUGAAACUGAGAGGAAGUUGUCAAAACAAGAUUUGAAAUACCAAAUCCUCCAGGAGAAAUUUUUAAAUGCUCAGACAGACAAAGCAAUCCUGCAGAAAGAAAAACAAUCACUGGAAAAUUCUACAGUGAAUCUUCAGAAAAAAGUUGUUGAAACAGACACUCCUGCAAAAGUUCCAGCAAGACAAUAAGUUUCUUAAGGAUCAAGUGAAAACUGGUCAAAGUGCUUACGGACGACAAAAAAGAUUCAAAGUGCACGCAAACACUUCUCAACAAAGAGCAUACGCAUUUGAAAAUCCAUCGGAAGCUCAGAAAGUUGAACUUAAACGGUCAGAUCUCUUGAGGAUUAGAGAGAACACGAUCAGUAACCUAAAGAUCCCAUUGGUUGCAAACAGAAGCCAGUGGACGCUCAGAGGAGACAACGUAGAGUUGAGGAGGAGGCUGAACUUGAGGCGAGAAGAAACCGUCUGUGAAAUGUUUCCAAACGAUCUGAGUUGCACACUUCAGCUUUCAAUAAAAGGUGGAUUAAAUUCAACAUAUGUUGUGAAAGCGCUUGAUGCAGCACAGAGUGUUGUCAGCCACUUUCGACAUUCAUCAGUUGCAGCCUGUGCUCUGAAGAAACGACAGGAACAACUGGGAAUUAAAUCCAAAAAAACUCCAGAUUGAUUGUCCAGUUUGUUGGAAAUCCUCUGUCAAUGCUCCAGCGGCUGUUUGAGCAGAGGAUUACAGCGCAGUCCGUCCUUGGUGAUGAAAACGUCACCGAGCCAAAUGUCCAGAAGACACUUGCCAUGACAGCAUCACAGUGGGAAGAAAUUGAACAGCUGAUUCCGGUACUUCAACCACUGAUAAAGGCUACUGAAGUGUGACGGAGUCUAUCCCAGUCAUUGCCUGCAUGUUAGCUCCUUGCAUUAAGCAUCUUCACUACAUCUGCAGAGGCCGCAGGCACCUGAGCCGUCCAGAGCAACAGCUGUCCAAGGUGAGGAGAUUGAAGAGAUUCCCCGAUCAUAGCAAGCUGGUGACCGGGAAAAAAAGCCAGGCUGGGAAGAAGAUUUUCUGCAACGUUUCGGGCCACAUUACCAGAGUGACAGGAGAUCAGCACACAGCACCACUCCUGCUGAAGAAAUCUAUGAUUGUUUUUUUUCCCCCGCUACAACAUUUCCCCACCAUGACUAACUCGCUGCAGUGGUAGGCCGGCAACCAGGACAGAUUUCUGCGUUUGGCAAAGCUCAGCAGAAAGUAUUUAGAUGUUCCGGCAACCAGCACUCCCAGCAAGAGGAUUUUCUAUCCUCUUGCUGGGAGUAACAAGAAAGCAGGCAAGCCUUCACCCUGCUCAUAUUGAUGCUCUUGUUGUCUUACACGUGAACCAAGAUCAAAAAUAAAAAACUAAGCGAGGAAA
Molecule: long non-coding RNA, 5385 nt
Organism: Poecilia reticulata (guppy)
Lineage: Eukaryota; Metazoa; Chordata; Actinopteri; Cyprinodontiformes; Poeciliidae
Source: RefSeq, a predicted model, not a curated record